UACAAGUUACAUCAUAAUUUAUGCAUUAUUUCUAACAAAUCUCAUAAAACCUUCAAGGUUGGGAGGUGGUUGUGUUGGCGGUGGUGGAAAUGAAGCGUGUUCAUCGCCACUUCCAGGUGAAGUUGCUUCCUGAGCAAGUUCUGCUAUCAUUUCUUCAUACGCCUCAACUAUUUCUGGUUGUGAUUCUGCUAGGCCAAAGUUCCUUCUUUCUGCG
RNAcentral lists this long non-coding RNA (214 nucleotides) under Nicotiana benthamiana. RNAcentral's name for it is "long non-coding RNA (NBEN_LNC006652)". The record is from RNAcentral. Lineage: Eukaryota; Viridiplantae; Streptophyta; Magnoliopsida; Solanales; Solanaceae.